UACGAAGGGGGCUAGCGUUGCUCGGAUUGACUGGGCGUAAAGGGCGCGUAGGCGGUUCGUACAGUCAGACGUGAAAUUCCUGGGCUCAACCUGGGGGCUGCGUUUGAUACGUGCGGACUUGAGUGCGGAAGAGGGUCGUGGAAUUCCCAGUGUAGAGGUGAAAUUCGUAGAUAUUGGGAGGAACAUCAGUGGCGAAGGCGGCUGCCUGGCCCAAUACUGACACUCAGGUGCGACAGCGUGGGGAGCAAACAGG
RNAcentral lists this ribosomal RNA (253 nucleotides) under uncultured bacterium. Its description in RNAcentral is "partial 16S ribosomal RNA". It matches the Rfam family "Bacterial small subunit ribosomal RNA", at positions 524 to 776 of the family's 1533-position model. The record is from RNAcentral.